AGGACGAACGCUGGCGGCGUGCUUAACACAUGCAAGUGGAGCGACGAACCAGGGCUUGCCCUGGGGCAGAGCCGCGAACGGGUGAGUAACACGUGGGUUACCUGCCUCGAUGACCGGGACAACCCGAGGAAACUCGGGCUAAUACCGGAUGUGCCCGCAAGGGGAAAGGAAGCUUCGGCCUCCGCAUCGAGAUGGGCCCGCGGCCCAUUAGCUUGUUGGUGAGGUAACGGCUUACCAAGGCUUCGAUGGGUAGCUGGUCUGAGAGGACGAUCAGCCACACUGGGACUGAGACACGGCCCAGACUCCUACGGGAGGCAGCAGUGGGGAAUCUUGCGCAAUGCGCGAAAGCGUGACGCAGCAACGCCGCGUGGGGAAGAAGGCUUUCGGGUUGUAAACCCUUUCAGUUGGGACGAAGCUUCGACGGUGAAUAGCCGGCCGGAGUGACGGUACCUUCACAAGAAGCACCGGCUAACUACGCGCCAGCAGCCGCGGU
This 493-nucleotide ribosomal RNA is filed under the name uncultured bacterium. RNAcentral describes it as "SSU rRNA". It matches the Rfam family "Bacterial small subunit ribosomal RNA", at positions 26 to 521 of the family's 1533-position model. The record is from RNAcentral.